Long non-coding RNA from Eucalyptus grandis, 489 nucleotides. RefSeq lists it as uncharacterized. NCBI's taxonomy places the organism in Eukaryota, Viridiplantae, Streptophyta, Magnoliopsida, Myrtales, Myrtaceae. The record is from RefSeq and is a predicted model, not a curated record. The transcript has 3 exons.
GACUUGUCUUUCAAAGCACUAGCAACCAUUAGCUUCCUCUUUCUCCGUAUCUUCCUUCUCAUUCAUUCAUUGGCGUACCCACCACCGGUGUCAACUAUGGCAUACGUGGCGCCUCCACCGCCAGGCUAUCCCAUAAGGGAUGGCCAACAGCCUGCGCAGAAUGCCGUCCCAAUCGAGACCAAGACUAGGGGCCGCGCCUGCACCUUAUUGAAUUUCCUACGCUGUGGGUUGGAAUGUUGCGGCCAGAUGCAGGGAUAAGUUCCUAGCAUUUUCCCGGAAAAGGAUCGCCUUGAUGUAGUUUUAAACUUGGUGUGGUCUUAUACUUGGUUUGAUGUUUAUGUUUCGAUCUGCAGACUCUUCUAAGACCCUCUUUAUGCUGACAAAAAGGGGGAGACUUUGCAGAUUUCCUUUGCAAAUUUCCUUUUAUGUGUGUGCUUUUGUGUAUUUGUAAACUCAUGGGUUGAUAAUGGUAAAAUGCCUGCUUACUCA